This 465-nucleotide ribosomal RNA is filed under the name uncultured bacterium. Its description in RNAcentral is "partial 16S ribosomal RNA". It matches the Rfam family "Bacterial small subunit ribosomal RNA", at positions 28 to 507 of the family's 1533-position model. The record is from RNAcentral.
GACGAACGCUGGCGGCGUGCUUAACACAUGCAAGUCGAACGGAAAGGCCCUGCUUGCAGGGGACUCGAGUGGCGAACGGGUGAGUAACACGUGGGUGAUCGGCCCUGCACUUCGGGAUAAGCCUGGGAAACUGGGUCUAAUACCCGAUAGGAGCGAUGUUGAAUGUGAUGGUUGGAAAGUUUUUUCGGUGUAGGAUGAGCUCGCGGCCUAUCAGCUUGUUGGUGGGGUAAUGGCCUACCAAGGCGGCGACGGGUAGCCGGCCUGAGAGGGUGGACGGCCACCUUGGGACUUAGAUAAGGCCGCGAUGCCUAAGGGAGGACGCAGUGGGGAAUCUUGCACCAUGGGCGCAAGCCUGAUGCAGCGACGCCGCGUGGGGGAUGACGGCCUUCGGGUUGUAAAAUCCUUUCGCUAGGGAACCAGCUUUUUGUGACGUUACCUAGAUAAGAAGCACCGGCUAACUACGUG